GACAGAGGGUGCAAACGUUGUUCGGAAUUACUGGGCGUAAAGCGCGUGUAGGCGGCUAUGCAAGUCGGGCGUGAAAGCCCUCGGCUCAACCGAGGAAGUGCACUCGAAACUGCGUAGCUAGAGUCCCGGAGAGGAAGGUGGAAUACUUGGUGUAGAGGUGAAAUUCGUAGAUAUCAAGUGGAACACCUAUGGCGAAGGCAGCUCUCUGGGACGGUACUGACGCUGAGACGCGAAAGCGUGGGGAGCGAACAGG
This 253-nucleotide ribosomal RNA is filed under the name uncultured bacterium. RNAcentral describes it as "partial 16S ribosomal RNA". It matches the Rfam family "Bacterial small subunit ribosomal RNA", at positions 524 to 776 of the family's 1533-position model. The record is from RNAcentral.